This 417-nucleotide ribosomal RNA is filed under the name uncultured soil bacterium. RNAcentral's name for it is "bacterial SSU rRNA". It matches the Rfam family "Bacterial small subunit ribosomal RNA", at positions 26 to 486 of the family's 1533-position model. The record is from RNAcentral.
AGAACGAACGCUGGCGGCAUGCCUAACACAUGCAAGUCGAACGAGACCUUCGGGUCUAGUGGCGCACGGGUGCGUAACGCGUGGGAAUCUGCCCUUGGGUUCGGGAUAACAGUUGGAAACGACUGCUAAUACCGGAUGAUGUUUUCGGACCAAAGAUUUAUCGCCCAGGGAUGAGCCCGCGUAGGAUUAGCUUGUUGGUGAGGUAAGAGCUCACCAAGGCGACGAUCCUUAGCUGGUCUGAGAGGAUGAUCAGCCACACUGGGACUGAGACACCGGCCCAGCUCCUAGGGAGCAGCAGUGGGGAAUAGUUGGACAAUGGGACGAAAGCCUGAUCCAGCAAUGCCGCGUGAGUGAUGGAAGUCGUUAGGUUAGUAACGUCUUCCGUUUACCGGAUGUAUAAUGACAGUACCGGAAGAA